Molecule: ribosomal RNA, 475 nt
Filed under: uncultured bacterium
Lineage: Bacteria
Description: bacterial SSU rRNA
Rfam family: Bacterial small subunit ribosomal RNA
Source: RNAcentral
ACAGAACGAAACAGUCUCUCCUAAUACGGGGGGCGAAUGACGGUACUGUAAGAAUAAGCACCGGCUAACUACGUGCCAGCAGCCGCGGUAAUACGUAGGGUGCAAGCGUUAAUCGGAAUUACUGGGCGUAAAGCGUGCGCAGGCGGUUUUGUAAGACAGAUGUGAAAUCCCCGGGCUCAACCUGGGGACCUGCAUUUGUGACUGCAAAGCUAGAGUACGGCAGAGGGGGAUGGAAUUCCGCGUGUAGCAGUGAAAUGCGUAGAUAUGCGGAGGAACACCGAUGGCGAAGGCAAUCCCCUGGGCCUGUACUGACGCUCAUGCACGAAAGCGUGGGGAGCAAACAGGAUUAGAUACCCUGGUAGUCCACGCCCUAAACGAUGUCAACUGGUUGUUGGGCCUUCGCUGGCUCAGUAACGAAGCUAACGCGUGAAGUUGACCGCCUGGGGAGUACGGCCGCAAGGUUGAAACUCAAAGG